Molecule: ribosomal RNA, 478 nt
Filed under: uncultured bacterium
Lineage: Bacteria
Description: partial 16S ribosomal RNA
Rfam family: Bacterial small subunit ribosomal RNA
Source: RNAcentral
GACGAACGCUGGCGGCGUGCUUAACACAUGCAAGUCGAACGGUAAGGCCCUUCGGGGUACACGAGUGGCGAACGGGUGAGUAACACGUGGGUGAUCUGCCCUGCACUUCGGGAUAAGCCUGGGAAACUGGGUCUAAUACCGGAUAGGACCACUGCCUGCAUGGGUGGUGGUGGAAAGCUUUUGCGGUGUGGGAUGGGCCCGCGGCCUAUCAGCUUGUUGGUGGGGUGAUGGCCUACCAAGGCGACGACGGGUAGCCGGCCUGAGAGGGUGACCGGCCACACUGGGACUGGGAUACGGCCCAGACUGCUACGGGAGGCAGAGGUGGGGAAUAUUGCACAAUGGGCGCAAGCCUGAUGCAGCGACGCCGCGUGGGGGAUGACGGCCUUCGGGUUGUAAACCUCUUUCAGCACCGACGAAGCGCAAGUGACGGUAGGUGCAGAAGAAGGACCGGCCAACUACGUGCCAGCAGCCGCCGUAA